RNAcentral lists this ribosomal RNA (471 nucleotides) under uncultured beta proteobacterium. RNAcentral describes it as "bacterial SSU rRNA". It matches the Rfam family "Bacterial small subunit ribosomal RNA", at positions 198 to 650 of the family's 1533-position model. Lineage: Bacteria; Pseudomonadati; Pseudomonadota; Betaproteobacteria. The record is from RNAcentral.
GGAGGAAAGCAGGGGAUCGCAAGACCUUGCGCUCAUUGAGCGGCCGAUGCCUGAUUAGCUAGUUGGUGAGGUAAAGGCUUACCAAGGCGACGAUCAGUAGCUGGUCUGAGAGGACGACCAGCCACACUGGGACUGAGACACGGCCCAGACUCCUACGGGAGGCAGCAGUGGGGAAUUUUGGACAAUGGGGGAAACCCUGAUCCAGCCAUGCCGCGUGAGUGAAGAAGGCCUUCGGGUUGUAAAGCUCUUUCAGCCGGAACGAAACGGUCACGGCUAAUACCUGUGUCUACUGACGGUACCGGAAGAAGAAGCACCGGCUAACUACGUGCCAGCAGCCGCGGUAAUACGUAGGGUGCGAGCGUUAAUCGGAAUUACUGGGCGUAAAGCGUGCGCAGGCGGUUUUGUAAGUCAGAUGUGAGAAUCCCCGGGCUUAACCUGGGAACUGCGUUUGAAAUACAGGGCUAGAAGGGC